This 109-nucleotide ribosomal RNA is filed under the name Helianthus annuus (common sunflower). Lineage: Eukaryota; Viridiplantae; Streptophyta; Magnoliopsida; Asterales; Asteraceae. The record is from RNAcentral.
UGUUUUGGGCAUAUUGGCUGUGGAGCACAUGAAAACUCUACAGUUAAGCGUGCUCAAGUGAGAGUAGUAUCAGGAUGGGUGACCUCAUGGGAAGUCUCCACCGGGGCAA